Molecule: small RNA, 272 nt
Filed under: Acanthamoeba castellanii mamavirus
Lineage: Varidnaviria; Bamfordvirae; Nucleocytoviricota; Megaviricetes; Imitervirales; Mimiviridae
Description: unknown
Source: RNAcentral
GGACACAAAACUAUUUUUAUCGUCUCUUGUGAAAUCAAUAUUUAAUCCUGCUUUAUAAUGGGAAUCUGAUGUCAAAAUAUUCAAGUCCAUUUUUUCACUAAUAUUAUUAAAUCCGUACUUGAUUAAUUUUGGACUGGGGUGAUCAUCAAAAUAUAUUUUUGAUUUAUUUAUCGGAGGUGGGAUUGAUUCAUUAUUGAUUACUCUAGGAAGAGAAAAUAUUAUUGGUUUCAUCUAUAUUUAUAACUAAUAAAUAAUAAUAUUUUAUCAUUUGU